RNAcentral lists this unclassified non-coding RNA (379 nucleotides) under uncultured bacterium. RNAcentral's name for it is "contains 16S-23S intergenic spacer region". The record is from RNAcentral.
UCCGAGUUGACCCCGGCAGUCUCCUAUGAGUCCCCGCCAUAACGCGCUGGCAACAUAGAACGAGGGUUGCGCUCGUUGCGGGACUUAACCCAACAUCCCACGACACGAGCUGACGACAGCCAUGCACCACCUGUGCACGAGCCCCGAAGGGCUGCCGUAUUUCUACGACAUUCCCGUGCAUGUCAAGCCCAGGUAAGGUUCUUCGCGUUGCUUCGAAUUAAACCACAUGCUCCACCGCUUGUGCGGGCCCCCGUCAAUUCCUUUGAGUUUCAGCCUUGCGGCCGUACUCCCCAGGCGGGGCACUUCAUGCGUUAGCGCCGGCACGGAGAACGUGGAAUGUCCCCCACACCUAGUGCCCACCGUUUACGGCGUGGACUAC